UUCACAUUUGCCAGAAACUGUUCUAAAAGCUCUAGAUGUAUUAACCCAUUUAAUUUUCACAGAAAUUCUAUAGAUUAAAUAUUUCCUACCUAUUUUUUUUAGAUGAACAAGCAAAGACCCCACAAGGCUAAUUUUCAGAGCUAGUAAAUGAGAGAAGAGAACACAAGGAAAAUGAAGAAAGACAAAAUAUUAGCAUCUCUGACAUUUACAGAACAGAUGGGAGAGAAGAACCUGGAGGAAAGCUGUAAAGGGUACAUCAGAGAGUGCCUAUCUUGAGGGUUGGAACAUACGUAGUGGAUAUUCUAUUGUAUUUGCUGAGAGAUUGAUGGAAUCAAUGAUAAAUGAGUAAGUGAGGGUAAAAUUUGGCAUUCAAUACUAUUUUAAAUUAUCCUCCAUAGCUCUAUAAACUCUAGUGGUUUUAUC
Long non-coding RNA from Pan paniscus (pygmy chimpanzee), 423 nucleotides. The record is from Ensembl. Lineage: Eukaryota; Metazoa; Chordata; Mammalia; Primates; Hominidae.